This 92-nucleotide microRNA precursor is filed under the name Marmota monax (woodchuck). The record is from RNAcentral. Lineage: Eukaryota; Metazoa; Chordata; Mammalia; Rodentia; Sciuridae.
AGUGGAAUGGCUGGGUUAGAUGGUAAGUUUAUUUUCAAGAAACUGCCAAGCUCUUUUCCAAAAUGCCUGUACCACUUCAUGUUCCUAGCAGG